AUCCCUACUUACAUCUUUGCUACAAUUGUCAUCAAUAGGGUUUAAUUUGUGUGUCAAGUAAUUUUCACAUCAAAUUUUGGCGUUGUUCCUGGGGAAUAGCAAACUUGCUAAUCCCUUGUUUGUGUCGUGUCUUUAGUAUUUUCUUUUAAGUUUAUCCGUGAGUUUGUGUGUGUGUUUUUGUGUUUCUGCCGUGCCUUAAUACUUGGUUGCUGAUUGUGUUUGUUUCUUCGUUUCAGGUACUAGUUUAUGACUCGUAGUUCUCAACACAUUAGUGCAAACAUCUUGGAUUUCGAUGACGAUUUUGAAAGAACUUUGAGGCGAAAGAGGAAGCAACCAGAACCUAAUCCACCUAGUUCAAGUUCAGAGGCCGAAUCUGAAUUUGAAGAAGAAGAAGAAGU
Molecule: long non-coding RNA, 398 nt
Filed under: Malus domestica (apple)
Lineage: Eukaryota; Viridiplantae; Streptophyta; Magnoliopsida; Rosales; Rosaceae
Description: long non-coding RNA (MDOM_LNC016352)
Source: RNAcentral